GAGAAGUUCCCCCACCCUGCGCGCCCCCAGCUACCUGGCUGCUCUGCAGCUGGUGCAGUGAACGAGUCUCGCUGCUCCAGAGGAAAAGCCUCUCAAUGGGAAUGGAAUCAUAUUUAUUCCUGAUCUGCCCGAAUGCGCAGAAAAAAGAAAGUGCAGGCACAGGCAUGACAAUGGAUGCUCUCUCUGGAUGCAGAGACUCUGAGAGAGAGGGGGCAUCCUCUGCCUCCUCCUCACAACACAGUAGCAACAGUGAAGGCAGUUGUGUCUGUUUCACUAAAGAAGCCCGUU
Molecule: long non-coding RNA, 288 nt
Organism: Phyllostomus discolor (pale spear-nosed bat)
Lineage: Eukaryota; Metazoa; Chordata; Mammalia; Chiroptera; Phyllostomidae
Exons: 2
Source: RefSeq, a predicted model, not a curated record